This is an RNA transcript of Nerophis ophidion (straightnose pipefish), 2476 nucleotides long. It is a transcript of the gene named small integral membrane protein 29-like, with no coding region annotated. Lineage: Eukaryota; Metazoa; Chordata; Actinopteri; Syngnathiformes; Syngnathidae. The record is from RefSeq and is a predicted model, not a curated record. The transcript is spliced from 4 exons.
UGAUUCUUUCGUUCUCUGUCCAAAGGCCUUCCUCAGCAGGAAGCAAUGUCCUCCACACUCCAUAUCCAUACACUAAAGUGUCAUGAGGCCACGGCCCGUCACUGAAUGUGUCACAAAGGUGCAAUGUGGAGGCCGCACACCCAGCAGGGGGUAUGGAGGAGGAGAGUAAGCAAAUGAAAAUGCAUCCCAACCAAACCACUCCUCGCAUUUCACCUCAAAAUACCGACAGCGGAUUUGUUGCCUACGCCGCCGUCAUCCCUGUUGUCGUCCUCACACUGAUUGGAUUUUUGGCAGCCUUGGUAAGAACCUGUACCUAUCUUCUUCUUUGGUGGUCAAUCACAUGACUGCAUCGAUGUUUGCACACCCUCAGGUUCUUUAUAUCAAAAGGAGAAUGAGGUUAGACGAGCUCCGCCACAGACUGAUUCCGGUGUACAGUUACGACCCUGCAGAGGAAGUCCAUGCCUGGAAACAUGGUGCACCGGACGGCGAGGAAGAGUUGGCUGUAGGAAAUAUUUAGCAGCAAUGAUAACAUACUGUAUUUUUCAGACUAUAAAGCAGACUUAAAAUCCUUCCCUUUUCUUAUAAAUCGUCAAUACACUUUAUAACCCGGUGCGCCUAAUGUACGGAAUAAUUCUGGUUGUGCUUACCGACCUCGAAGCAAUUUUAUUUGGUACAUGGUGUAAUGAAAAGUGUGAACGGUAGAUGGCAGUCAGACAUAAGAGAUACAUGUAGACUGCAAAAUGACGCCAGUAAACACCACCAAAACAUCAUAUGUUCCACUGAAGAUAAAAAACAUUACACACGGCACUCAAAAAUCCGUCAAAAUCAGGGGUCUCAAACUCACUUCACCUGGGGGCCACUGGACGCAGAGUCUGGGCCCCAUGAUAAGAUUUCUUAAAAAUGUUUUAGCAUAUUCCUUAGCAUGUCUAGUUGUAUAAUGACGUUUCAAAUUGUAUCUCUUGUGCAAUGCAACUUUCUCUGUGCAAAUAAGAUAUAUUGACCUGUGUUCAACAAAGACAUAUUGCAUCUCCCACUUUUCCUGGAAUUAUCUUUGCUCAUCACUAACCCUUCUCUUCACUGAAGGCUUUGAAAAAGACAUGUUUGGGGUUGUGGAAUAUAUUUGUAUUUAGCCCACGCACAAAGAAUAAUGUUAUUUCUGCAAUGUGUGUCGUUUCGCUUUUCCUCUCUACAGCAACACGGCGGUCGACAGAUAAUAGUACCGGGAUAGCGAGCGCAAAAAAGUUAUUGGGACUGCUAUUACUGACGGACAGGUGUCGCGGUGUGACUGCAGCCAGGCACGAACUGCUGUGCAAGGAGGGAAUAUCCACUUAUAUCAGACCAAUGGUGUAAUGAGAAACAACAACUACAUGUUGAAGAGAAAAGAAGGUAAAAAUGUGUCCAUAAUAUUUAAGGCAUAUUCAUUACUAUAUGGCUGUCUAAUGUGCUCAAAAAUAUUGAGACGAGGGUGGAAAAAUACCAGGAGUAUUCAAAGUUAAGGAAAAUUGAUGGGAAUAUACAGUAUUUGGGGAAAUCAGUGCAAGUAUUAACCAGAAAUGUCAGGUUUGCCUGUAUAGUAAGCUGAAGGGCAAUGCUGAAAUUAAAAACUGUAUUAUCUACUGGGGUAUACGUGUAAUACACAUGCAGCAACGUUCUAGGCAAGUGUGUCCAAAACUUUUACCGGUACUAGGAAGGAUUGGGUCGGGCUGUGGGAACACAGACUGGAGCGAUUUCUGAUUUGAAUCGCAAAAUGGAUCUCAUCUUGGAGAAGCUUGCUGAGAAGGAAUAAUGAAAUUGGAAUUGGAGAAUCCAGCACGGACACACAGAGAAGGCAAAUCACUAUUUAGUCAUCUCGAGAAAAACAACAUCUUAAUCUACAAUUUGACUCUGUCGAAUGGCCUUGAGGCAAUCAGGAACAGGCUUGUUCUGAAGAACUCCCCCGAGGACUCCUCAAAGAUGGACGCUUUUGACCUUCCUUUUUUUCCAACAACACCUGGUGUCGAACUUGAGAUCGGCCCCAGUCCACAAAAACAUUCCACAUCUCACCCAAGUUAAUUGGGCAUACAUGCACGCACACGCCCCUCCCCAAAUCAACGCCUUCACCACCGCUUAAUUCCUCUGGGGUUGUGGAUGGCUGAGUAGCACUUUAUAGUAGCAACUCUGUUGCAAGUUGGUGUGAUUACAUGUACCAUGUUUAUGUGUGCCAUGCUAUGUGAGGUUUUUUCCUUGGACUCAGUCUGGACCCCUCCUGAGGGUCUAGCCUUAGACUGAUAUUUAUUUUACUCUUCCCCCUCUCCCAAUGUCACCUUUUUCUCACCUUUUUAAGGAGCGCCAUAAGCGGCUGAUCCGUUGGCGGUCCCGUCUUGUCCACCCCAUUAACGUAUGUCUGCUCUAGCGGGACUGUGCCGAAAAUGUCAUUUCAGUUCUUAUGUGUCUUGUACAUGGUCAGAAUGGACAAAAUAAAGCUGCUGCUGCUGUC